Molecule: ribosomal RNA, 1009 nt
Filed under: unidentified
Also listed under: 1 other name
Description: bacterial SSU rRNA
Rfam family: Bacterial small subunit ribosomal RNA
Source: RNAcentral
UGGGGAAUAUUGGACAAUGGAGGCAACUCUGAUCCAGCAAUUCUGUGUGUGUGAAGAAGGUUUUAGGACUGUAAAACACUUUUAGUAGGGAAGAAAGAAAUGACGGUACCUACAGAAGAAGCGACGGCUAAAUACGUGCCAGCAGCCGCGGUAAUACGUAUGUCGCGAGCGUUAUCCGGAAUUAUUGGGCUUAAAGGGCAUCUAGGCGGUUAAACAAGUUGAAGGUGAAAACCUGUGGCUCAACCAUAGGCUUGCCUACAAAACUGUAUAACUAGAGUACUGGAAAGGUGGGUGGAACUACACGAGUAGAGGUGAAAUUCGUAGAUAUGUGUAGGAAUGCCGAUGAUGAAGAUAACUCACUGGACAGCAACUGACGCUGAAGUGCGAAAGCUAGGGGAGCAAACAGGAUUAGAUACCCUGGUAGUCCUAGCUGUAAACGAUGAUCACUGGGUGUGGGGAUUCGAAGUCUCUGUGCCGAAGCAAAAGCGAUAAGUGAUCCGCCUGGGGAGUACGUUCGCAAGAAUGAAACUCAAAGGAAUUGACGGGGACCCGCACAAGUGGUGGAGCAUGUGGUUUAAUUCGACGCAACGCGAGGAACCUUACCAGAUCUUGACAUCCUCCGAAGAGCAUAGAAGUAUGCUUGUGCCUACGGGAACGGAGAGACAGGUGGUGCAUGGCUGUCGACAGCUCGUGUUGUGAGAUGUUGGGUUAAGUCCCGCAACGAGCGAAACCCCUAUCAUUAGUUACCAUCAUUAAGUUGGGGACUCUAAUGAAACUGCCUACGAAGAGUAGGAGGAAGGUGGGGAUGACGUCAAGUCAUCAUGCCCCUUAUGAUCUGGGCUACACACGUGCUACAAUGGAUAGUACAAAGAGAAGCUUUGUAGCGAUACAUGGCAAAACUAAGAAAGCUAUUCUUAGUUCGGAUUGAAGUCUGCAACUCGACUUCAUGAAGUUGGAAUCACUAGUAAUCGUGAAUCAGCAAUGUCACGGUGAAUACGUUCUCGGGUCU